CAUGGCUCAGAUUGAACGCUGGCGGUAUGCUUAACACAUGCAAGUCGAACGGUAGCAGGCCUUCGGGCGCUGACGAGUGGCGGACGGGUGAGUAACGCGUAGGAAUCUGCCUCAUAGUGGGGGACAACGUGGGGAAACUCACGCUAAUACCGCAUACGCCCUACGGGGGAAAGCGGGGGAUCUUCGGACCUCGCGCUAUGAGAUGAGCCUGCGUUAGAUUAGCUAGUUGGUAGGGUAAAGGCCUACCAAGGCGACGAUCUAUAGCUGGUCUGAGAGGACGAUCAGCCACACUGGGACUGAGACACGGCCCAGACUCCUACGGGAGGCAGCAGUGGGGAAUAUUGGACAAUGGGCGCAAGCCUGAUCCAGCAAUACCGCGUGUGUGAAGAAGGCCUUAGGUUGUAAAGCACUUUCAAUUGGGAGGAAAAACCUGUCGGUCAAUACCGGCAGCUUGACAUUACCUUUAGAAGAAGCACCGGCUAACUCCGUGCCAGCAGCCGCGGUAAUACGG
This 511-nucleotide ribosomal RNA is filed under the name uncultured bacterium. Its description in RNAcentral is "bacterial SSU rRNA". It matches the Rfam family "Bacterial small subunit ribosomal RNA", at positions 18 to 528 of the family's 1533-position model. The record is from RNAcentral.